UUCUUGCUCCUUGCUCUGCUAGCAUCUUCUCCUUGCACUUCCCUGAGUUGAUGAGCCAAGUUCAACCUAUCAGCUUUGGCUUUGUACAGCUCCAUAUGGGUGUCUUGCUCCUUCCCUCUCAAACGGCGAUUCUCCAUUAGGGCUUGCUUGUAGUGCUCCGCAGGCACACUCUCAGCAAGGAUCAAAGGUGGUUGCUCCUGCAACGGCUCCAUCCUAUCGUAGGGUAACAACAAAGUUUCUACUCUCUUCUUGACCCAAUCAU
Molecule: long non-coding RNA, 262 nt
Filed under: Lathyrus oleraceus (garden pea)
Lineage: Eukaryota; Viridiplantae; Streptophyta; Magnoliopsida; Fabales; Fabaceae
Description: Pisum sativum (pea) long non-coding RNA (PSAT_LNC032047)
Source: RNAcentral